UAAGCGACUAAGCGUACACGGUGGAUGCCCUGGCAGUCAGAGGCGAUGAAGGACGUGCUAAUCUGCGAUAAGCGUCGGUAAGGUGAUAUGAACCGUUAUAACCGGCGAUUUCCGAAUGGGGAAACCCAGUGUGUUUCGACACACUAUCAUUAACUGAAUCCAUAGGUUAAUGAGGCGAACCGGGGGAACUGAAACAUCUAAGUACCCCGAGGAAAAGAAAUCAACCGAGAUUCCCCCAGUAGCGGCGAGCGAACGGGGAGCAGCCCAGAGCCUGAAUCAGUAUGUGUGUUAGUGGAAGCGUCUGGAAAGGCGCGCGAUACAGGGUGACAGCCCCGUACACAAAAAUGCACAUGCUGUGAGCUCGAUGAGUAGGGCGGGACACGUGGUAUCCUGUCUGAAUAUGGGGGGACCAUCCUCCAAGGCUAAAUACUCCUGACUGACCGAUAGUGAACCAGUACCGUGAGGGAAAGGCGAAAAGAACCCCGGCGAGGGGAGUGAAAAAGAACCUGAAACCGUGUACGUACAAGCAGUGGGAGCACGCUUAGGCGUGUGACUGCGUACCUUUUGUAUAAUGGGUCAGCGACUUAUAUUCUGUAGCAAGGUUAACCGAAUAGGGGAGCCGAAGGGAAACCGAGUCUUAACUGGGCGUUAAGUUGCAGGGUAUAGACCCGAAACCCGGUGAUCUAGCCAUGGGCAGGUUGAAGGUUGGGUAACACUAACUGGAGGACCGAACCGACUAAUGUUGAAAAAUUAGCGGAUGACUUGUGGCUGGGGGUGAAAGGCCAAUCAAACCGGGAGAUAGCUGGUUCUCCCCGAAAGCUAUUUAGGUAGCGCCUCGUGAAUUCAUCUCCGGGGGUAGAGCACUGUUUCGGCAAGGGGGUCAUCCCGACUUACCAACCCGAUGCAAACUGCGAAUACCGGAGAAUGUUAUCACGGGAGACACACGGCGGGUGCUAACGUCCGUCGUGAAGAGGGAAACAACCCAGACCGCCAGCUAAGGUCCCAAAGUCAUGGUUAAGUGGGAAACGAUGUGGGAAGGCCCAGACAGCCAGGAUGUUGGCUUAGAAGCAGCCAUCAUUUAAAGAAAGCGUAAUAGCUCACUGGUCGAGUCGGCCUGCGCGGAAGAUGUAACGGGGCUAAACCAUGCACCGAAGCUGCGGCAGCGACGCUGAUGCGUUGUUGGGUAGGGGAGCGUUCUGUAAGCCUGCGAAGGUGUGCUGUGAGGCAUGCUGGAGGUAUCAGAAGUGCGAAUGCUGACAUAAGUAACGAUAAAGCGGGUGAAAAGCCCGCUCGCCGGAAGACCAAGGGUUCCUGUCCAACGUUAAUCGGGGCAGGGUGAGUCGACCCCUAAGGCGAGGCCGAAAGGCGUAGUCGAUGGGAAACAGGUUAAUAUUCCUGUACUUGGUGUUACUGCGAAGGGGGGACGGAGAAGGCUAUGUUGGCCGGGCGACGGUUGUCCCGGUUUAAGCGUGUAGGCUGGUUUUCCAGGCAAAUCCGGAAAAUCAAGGCUGAGGCGUGAUGACGAGGCACUACGGUGCUGAAGCAACAAAUGCCCUGCUUCCAGGAAAAGCCUCUAAGCAUCAGGUAACAUCAAAUCGUACCCCAAACGACACAGGUGUCAGGUAGAGAAUACCAAGGCGCUUGAGAGAACUCGGGUAGAAGGAACUAGGCAAAAUGGUGCCGUAACUUCGGGAGAAGGCACGCUGAUAUGUAGGUGAAGUCCCUCGCGGAUGGAGCUGAAAUCAGUCGAAGAUACCAGCUGGCUGCAACUGUUUAUUAAAAACACAGCACUGUGCAAACACGAAAGUGGACGUAUACGGUGUGACGCCUGCCCGGUGCCGGAAGGUUAAUUGAUGGGGUUAGCGCAAGCGAAGCUCUUGAUCGAAGCCCCGGUAAACGGCGGCCGUAACUAUAACGGUCCUAAGGUAGCGAAAUUCCUUGUCGGGUAAGUUCCGACCUGCACGAAUGGCGUAAUGAUGGCCAGGCUGUCUCCACCCGAGACUCAGUGAAAUUGAACUCGCUGUGAAGAUGCAGUGUACCCGCGGCAAGACGGAAAGACCCCGUGAACCUUUACUAUAGCUUGACACUGAACAUUGAGCCUUGAUGUGUAGGAUAGGUGGGAGGCUUUGAAGUGUGGACGCCAGUCUGCAUGGAGCCGACCUUGAAAUACCACCCUUUAAUGUUUGAUGUUCUAACGUUGACCCGUAAUCCGGGUUGCGGACAGUGUCUGGUGGGUAGUUUGACUGGGGCGGUCUCCUCCUAAAGAGUAACGGAGGAGCACGAAGGUUGGCUAAUCCUGGUCGGACAUCAGGAGGUUAGUGCAAUGGCAUAAGCCAGCUUGACUGCGAGCGUGACGGCGCGAGCAGGUGCGAAAGCAGGUCAUAGUGAUCCGGUGGUUCUGAAUGGAAGGGCCAUCGCUCAACGGAUAAAAGGUACUCCGGGGAUAACAGGCUGAUACCGCCCAAGAGUUCAUAUCGACGGCGGUGUUUGGCACCUCGAUGUCGGCUCAUCACAUCCUGGGGCUGAAGUAGGUCCCAAGGGUAUGGCUGUUCGCCAUUUAAAGUGGUACGCGAGCUGGGUUUAGAACGUCGUGAGACAGUUCGGUCCCUAUCUGCCGUGGGCGCUGGAGAACUGAGGGGGCUGCUCCUAGUACGAGAGGACCGGAGUGGACGCAUCACUGGUGUUCGGGUUGUCAUGCCAAUGGCACUGCCCGGUAGCUAAAUGCGGAAGAGAUAAGUGCUGAAAGCAUCUAAGCACGAAACUUGCCCCGAGAUGAGUUCUCCCUGACUCCUUGAGAGUCCUGAAGGAACGUUGAAGACGACGACGUUGAUAGGCCGGGUGUGUAAGCGCAGCGAUGCGUUGAGCUAACCGGUACUAAUGAACCGUGAGGCUUAACCU
This 2898-nucleotide ribosomal RNA is filed under the name Escherichia coli DEC10C. RNAcentral's name for it is "bacterial LSU rRNA". It matches the Rfam family "Bacterial large subunit ribosomal RNA". Lineage: Bacteria; Pseudomonadati; Pseudomonadota; Gammaproteobacteria; Enterobacterales; Enterobacteriaceae. The record is from RNAcentral.